GUUAAAAAUUUCCACUUUCAGAAAUUUGCUCCUAAUCCAUAACAUGGAUCCUUCCCUUUGCAUCCAAAGCCCAAAGUUUUAGUCCUGUUCACCAUGGCCACAGCGAAAAGAUUUUUCCUUUUCUCUUUGUAACAGAUUUUUACCUGCUCUUAACUUAGAAUUUCUUCUCCAUCUCCUUCUUUCUCCAGACAUUUUCUGGAAAUCUCUUUUCUUCCACUUUCCAGCAAUGAAUUUUGAUCACUGUUUCCAUUUCAGACUCAAUUUUAGAUUGUGUUUAGAUACCACUCUGAAGAAACCACAGAAAAGCAAACCCUGGAAAUAAGCCAGGGAAUUUCUGAUGUUAGUGUUCUGGAGCAGAUGUGUAUAUAUCCAGGAGCCAUGCAUCAGUUCCUCAGAGUUUCCUGUUCAAUUAAAGUUAUGUUCUGGCUCUGAAGCUGAAGAGGCGGAUCUUGGAUAAAACCCUAGAAAACAAGACUCUCCCAGUUCUCUGUGGAUAGCAGCAAUCCUUUAAUAAAGGAUCAGAG
Molecule: long non-coding RNA, 524 nt
Filed under: Gallus gallus (chicken)
Lineage: Eukaryota; Metazoa; Chordata; Aves; Galliformes; Phasianidae
Description: lncRNA (ENSGALG00010014252.1)
Source: RNAcentral